RNAcentral lists this ribosomal RNA (253 nucleotides) under uncultured bacterium. RNAcentral's name for it is "partial 16S ribosomal RNA". It matches the Rfam family "Bacterial small subunit ribosomal RNA", at positions 524 to 776 of the family's 1533-position model. The record is from RNAcentral.
UACGAAGGGGGCUAGCGUUGCUCGGAUUUACUGGGCGUAAAGGGCGCGUAGGCGGACAGUUUAGUCAGAGGUGAAAGCCCAGGGCUCAACCUUGGAAUUGCCUUUGAUACUGGCUGUCUUGAGUACGGGAGAGGUGAGUGGAACUCCGAGUGUAGAGGUGAAAUUCGUAGAUAUCGGGAGGAACACCGGUGGCGAAGGCGGCGAUCUGGGUCGAUACUGACGCUGAGGUGCGAAAGCGUGGGGAGCAAACAGG